RNAcentral lists this unclassified non-coding RNA (324 nucleotides) under soil metagenome. Its description in RNAcentral is "partial contains 5.8S ribosomal RNA, internal transcribed spacer 2, and large subunit ribosomal RNA". The stretch from base 1 to 120 matches the Rfam family "5.8S ribosomal RNA", at positions 35 to 154 of the family's 154-position model. The record is from RNAcentral.
GAUGAAGAACGUAGCGAAAUGCGAUAAGUAGUGUGAAUUGCAGAAUUCAGUGAAUCAUCGAAUCUUUUAACGCACAUUGCGCCCCUUGGUAUUCCAUGGGGCAUGCCUGUUCGAGCGUCAUUUGUACCUUCAAGCUUUGCUUGGUGUUGGGUGUUUGUCCCGAGGGACUCGCCUUAAAGUAAUUGGCAGCCAGUGUUUGGUUUUGAAGCGCAGCACAAGUCGCGAUUCAAGGCUACACGCCCGCUUCCACAAGCCUUUUUUCACUUUUGACCUCGGAUCAGGUAGGGAUACCCGCUGAACUUAAGCAUAUCAAUAAGCGGAGGA